Molecule: long non-coding RNA, 1806 nt
Organism: Bubalus bubalis (water buffalo)
Lineage: Eukaryota; Metazoa; Chordata; Mammalia; Artiodactyla; Bovidae
Exons: 2
Source: RefSeq, a predicted model, not a curated record
UAGGAAAUAUGUUGGUUUUGCCUACCUGGCAUUUGCUUUUCCCCUUUGUAGGAAAAGCCUAAAAGCUUUCUUUAAAGAACCACCUUUCUUUCAAUUGUGUCUUCUCCAGGGCUGAAGGAUGGAUAUUACCUCAAAGUCAAGUCACUUAGGGUGACCUCCAGAAUUCAGCAGUGAUGUCUUGAAGAUUAAAGCAGUGAUGUCUUGAAGCCUAAAACCAAAACCAGCGGUCUGUUGCUCUGAUAGUCAGCAAGGGCCAUUAAGCUGCUAUUUUAAGUUAGUUCAUUGCUGAAUGAUGUUCAGCUAAGACCUGGAGUAGGAAGAUGAAGACUCAUCUAGGUAAAAUGAACACAAGAAUUUUGGCAUGUAAAACUGUGUGGAUUAGAGUUCAAAGUAUGUCCUAAGUAAAAUUUAUAGAGGAAUAAAAGUAGCAGUUUUCAGAUCUUUUAUUUUGCAACUUUGAAGGAUUUCUUUGAUGGUCUUACGUAUGUCAUCACCUCUGAAGAGUGCAACAUAUGUCAUGCACACACAACUCAUCUUUCUAUCUCUAUCUUCUCUUGUCGACUGGAAAACCAGAUGAAUGGAGUGCAGAGGGAAGAGGGCCAGCUUGUUGUUUGGAAUUCCCAAGAUCAGCAUAUCUGAAGAUGCUUUAUUUAUGAAACACACGCUUCUUUAUUUUUUUGAAGUAGUAACAGCAAAGUUCACCGACAGCGUGAAAGAGAACGCUAGCAAAGGGUCAAGAGUGCUGAAGAAACCACCCAAACUGGAGGGAAGGCCUCAUGGCCAGUUUAGACUCCAGCAGCAGCUGCGCCUUCACGGACCAGCCAAUGAUCCUGACUUUCACGUUACAAACUCAGGCCACCAAGCAUGCAGUAUCUCUCCUCACAUCUAGGGACCCACCUGUGCAUGUGCUCAGGCCCACCUUACUUCCUUCAGUCUCACAUCAAUUGGUGUCGCUUCUACUGGGCAUUGUUCUAAUAGUCAUUCUCUUGACCUUCUAUUUUUAAAUGUUUCUUCUCCUCACUGCUUCUCAGCAGCCAUAUGUAUGCCCAAGACAACAAUAUAUGAAUAAUCAAUCAAAAGAAGUACUCGAACUUGGGACUACUUUUGGUUACUAGUUAUUAAAAUUUUCUCAAUAUACCCCAAGCUGCUGGAAAGAAUAUUCUGUAUUACUCUCUCUGCUUCUCUAUCUUCCAUUCAUUUUUAACCCACCACAAUCUAGCGUUCUGCUACAUUAAGCUUCUGAAACGACUCUGGCAAAUGUCACUAAUUCUAACUUUCAGUCCAUAUUUAUUUGACCUCUAGCUGCAUUUGACACAGCUGAUAAAUUUCUUCUAGAAACUUUCAUAUCCCUAGCCUUUUUUGACUGUAUUCUCCCUGUUUCUAUCAUUUCUUCUGAGUUGUUUUUAUGGGUCUCUCUUCCUCUGCUCACCCUUCAUGGUGUUUUGCGUGAGAGUCUUGUCUUCGUCUUUUCUUGCUUCACUCUGUUGCUCUUGAAUGACAGAACCUAUUUCUAGUCAUCCGUCUACCAUAAUAUAUGCCAAUGAUUACAUUCUCCUGUAACUUCAGCAUUGUUAAUAGAUCUUUCCGUUUUUUUAUUGCUUAAAUUCAACAUAUUGCUCAAACUCAACCCAUUUGCUUUUCCAUAAACUCUUUUCCUGAGCCACUUAAAAAGUGAUAUUAUCAUUUACGCAGUCACACAAAUCAGAAAACUGACAGGAACUUUCAACUUAAUUUCCUCUUUCCAGACCUAAUAAGUGCUAGAGUUCUGUCACUUCCAUAUCCCGAUGUCUCUGAUCACCGCUUCCU